UACGGGAGGCAGCAGUGGGGAAUAUUGCACAAUGGGCGCAAGCCUGAUGCAGCCAUGCCGCGUGUAUGAAGAAGGCCUUCGGGUUGUAAAGUACUUUCAGCGGGGAGGAAGGCGGUGAAGUUAAUAGCUUCACCGAUUGACGUUACCCGCAGAAGAAGCACCGGCUAACUCCGUGCCAGCAGCCGCGGUAAUACGGAGGGUGCAAGCGUUAAUCGGAAUUACUGGGCGUAAAAGCGCACGCAGGCGGUCUGUCAAGUCGGAUGUGAAAUCCCCGGGCUUAACCUGGGAACUGCAUUCGAAACUGGCAGGCUAGAGUCUUGUAGAGGGGGUAGAAUUCCAGGUGUAGCGGUGAAAUGCGUAGAGAUCUGGAGGAAUACCGGUGGCGAAGGCGGCCCCUGGGACAAAGACUGACGCUCAGGUGCGAAAGCUGGGGAGCAAACAGGAUUAGGAUACCCGGU
RNAcentral lists this ribosomal RNA (458 nucleotides) under uncultured bacterium. Its description in RNAcentral is "bacterial SSU rRNA". It matches the Rfam family "Bacterial small subunit ribosomal RNA", at positions 340 to 791 of the family's 1533-position model. The record is from RNAcentral.